RNAcentral lists this ribosomal RNA (497 nucleotides) under uncultured bacterium. RNAcentral describes it as "partial 16S ribosomal RNA". It matches the Rfam family "Bacterial small subunit ribosomal RNA", at positions 28 to 507 of the family's 1533-position model. The record is from RNAcentral.
GAUGAACGCUGGCGGCGUGCCUAAUACAUGCAAGUCGAGCGAACGGACGAGAAGCUUGCUUCUCUGAUGUUAUCGGCGGACGGGUGAGUAACACGUGGAUAACCUACCUAUAAGACUGGGAUAACUUCGGGAACCCGGAGCUAAUACCGGAUGAUAUUUUGAACCGCAUGGUUCAAAAGUGAAAGACGGUCUUGCUGUUACUUAUAGAGGGAUCCGCGCUGCAUUAGCUAGUUGGUAAGGUAACGGCAUACCACGACAACGAUGGAUAGCCGACGUGAGAGGGUGAUCGUCGACACUGAAACUGAGACACGGUCCAGACUCCGACGGGAGGCAGCAGUAGGAGAUCUUACGCAAUGGGCGAAGGCCUAACGGAGCAACGGCGCGUGAGUGAGGGAGGUCUUCGGAUCGUAGAACUCUGUUAUUAGGGAAGAACAGAUGUGUAAGUAACUGUGCACGUCGUGACGGUACCUAAUCAGAAAGCCACGGCUAACUACGUG